UCUCCCUACACUGGUUUACUUAUGUAUGAAUCUGGCUUCAAAUUCAGAGACCCUUCUCGAAAUCUUUGCAGUUUCUGUAGCUGUCUGUUGAGAAUGUGUAACCUGGACACCCAAGAGGAGCUCUACAUCUGAUAUAUGAAAUUCGAGCAGUCUUUAAUUAGAUUUUGGAAACUACAGAUUCUGGAAACUACAAGCUCAAUCUUCAGGUUAUUUGAUAAUGCGGCUGCUGGUAUUCACUCUAUGAAACCAAUUGUUUUAUGAAG
Non-coding RNA from Struthio camelus australis, 263 nucleotides. NCBI's taxonomy places the organism in Eukaryota, Metazoa, Chordata, Aves, Struthioniformes, Struthionidae. The record is from RefSeq and is a predicted model, not a curated record.